GAUGAACGCUAGCUACAGGCUUAACACAUGCAGGUCGAGGGGAAACGACAUCGGAAGCUCGCUUUUGAUGGGCGUCGACCGGCGCACGGGUGAGUAACGCGUAUCCAACCUGCCCACCACUUGGGGAUAACCUUGCGAAAGUAAGACUAAUACCCAAUGACGUCUCUAGAAGACAUCUGAAAGGGAUUAAAGAUUUAUCGGUGAUGGAUGGGGAUGCGUCUGAUUAGCUUGUUGGCGGGGUAACGGCCCACCAAGGCGACGAUCAGUAGGGGUUCUGAGAGGAAGGUCCCCCACAUUGGAACUGAGGCACGGCCCAGACUCCUACGGGAGGCAGCAGUGAGGAAUAUUGGUCAAUGGGCGAGAGCCUGAACCAGCCAAGUAGCGUGCGGGACGACGGCCCUAUGGGUUGUAAACUGCUUUUAUAAGGGAAUAAAGUGGGUCACGUGUGACUUUUUGCAUGUACCUUAUGAAUAAGGACCGGCUAAUUCCGUG
RNAcentral lists this ribosomal RNA (492 nucleotides) under uncultured bacterium. Its description in RNAcentral is "bacterial SSU rRNA". It matches the Rfam family "Bacterial small subunit ribosomal RNA", at positions 28 to 507 of the family's 1533-position model. The record is from RNAcentral.